RNAcentral lists this ribosomal RNA (253 nucleotides) under uncultured bacterium. Its description in RNAcentral is "partial 16S ribosomal RNA". It matches the Rfam family "Bacterial small subunit ribosomal RNA", at positions 524 to 776 of the family's 1533-position model. The record is from RNAcentral.
UACGGAGGGUGCAAGCGUUAUCCGGAUUCACUGGGUUUAAAGGGUGCGUAGGUGGGCAUGUAAGUCAGUGGUGAAAUCUCCGGGCUUAACCCGGAAACUGCCAUUGAUACUAUAUGUCUUGAAUACCAUGGAGGUGAGCGGAAUAUGUCAUGUAGCGGUGAAAUGCUUAGAUAUGACAUAGAACACCAAUUGCGAAGGCAGCUCACUACGCGGUUAUUGACACUGAGGCACGAAAGCGUGGGGAGCAAACAGG